UGGGAAUCAGGUUAAUAUUCCUGAACCUGCGUCAGAUGCGAUGGGGGGACGGAGCAUGAAAGAUCAUCCGGGUGUUGGAUGUCCCGGUUGAUGAGCGUAGGAGGUCUGCAGGCAAAUCCGCAGACGCAUCUCCAAGGCAAAGACACGUGCCGCCACGGCGGCGAAGUGAUCGGAAGUGCUUCCAAGAAAAGCCUCUAAGCACCAGUCUGACGCGGACCGUACCGCAAACCGACACUGGUGGGCGAGCUGAAUAUGCUCAGGCGCUUGAGAGAACUCGGGAGAAGGAACUCGGCAAAUUGACACCGUAACUUCGGAAGAAGGUGUGCCGUAGUACCGUGAGAGGAGAGACACCUUGAGCGGGAAUCGGUCUCAGAGAAUAGGUGGCUGCGACUGUUUAUUAAAAACACAGCACUCUGCAAAGUCGAAAGACGACGUAUAGGGUGUGAUGCCUGCCCGGUGCUGGAAGAUUAAUUGAUGGGGUGAGAGCCCUUGAUCGAAGUCCCAGUAAACGGCGGCCGGAACUAUAACGGUCCUAAGGUAGCGAAAUUCCUUGUCGGGUAAGUUCCGACCUGCACGAAUGGCAUAACGAUGGCCACACUGUCUCCUCCCGAGACUCAGUGAAGUUGAAAUGUUUGUGAUGAUGCAAUCUACCCGCGGCUAGACGGAAAGACCCCAUGAACCUUUACUGCAGCUUUGCAUUGAACUGUGAACCGAUUUGUGUAGGAUAGGUGGGAGGCAGAGAAGAGGCCACGCCAGUGGUCUUGGAGCCGACCUUGAAAUACCACCCUGAUUUGUUUGCGGUUCUAACCACGGACAGUGAUCCUGUCUUGGGACCGUGCAUGGUAGGCAGUUUGACUGGGGCGGUCUCCUCCUAAAGGGUAACGGAGGAGUACGAAGGUACGCUAGGUACGGUCGGAAAUCGUGCUGAUAGUGCAAUGGCAAAAGCGUGCUUGACUGCGAGAGCAACAACUCGAGCAGAUGCGAAAGCAGGUCAUAGUGAUCCGGUGGCUCUGA
RNAcentral lists this ribosomal RNA (1014 nucleotides) under human gut metagenome. Its description in RNAcentral is "bacterial LSU rRNA". It matches the Rfam family "Bacterial large subunit ribosomal RNA", at positions 1419 to 2432 of the family's 2925-position model. The record is from RNAcentral.